This is a non-coding RNA of Triticum aestivum (bread wheat), 133 nucleotides long. The record is from Rfam. NCBI's taxonomy places the organism in Eukaryota, Viridiplantae, Streptophyta, Magnoliopsida, Poales, Poaceae.
UUUCUACUCCUUCCGUCCCAAAAUUCUUGUCUUAGAUUCGUCUACAUACGGAUGUAUCUGAUAUUAAAAUAUGACUUGAUACAUCCGUAUUUAGACAAAUCUAAGAAAAAAAUUGAGACAGAGGAAGUAUUUU